RNAcentral lists this ribosomal RNA (1347 nucleotides) under uncultured bacterium. Its description in RNAcentral is "partial 16S ribosomal RNA". It matches the Rfam family "Bacterial small subunit ribosomal RNA", at positions 28 to 1381 of the family's 1533-position model. The record is from RNAcentral.
GACGAACGCUGCUUUGCGUGCUUAACACAUGCAAGUCGAACGGAAAGGCCCUGCUUUUGUGGGGUGCUCGAGUGGCGAACGGGUGAGUAACACGUGAGUAACCUGCCCUUGACUUUGGGAUAACUUCAGGAAACUGGGGCUAAUACCGGAUAGGAGCUCCUGCUGCAUGGUGGGGGUUGGAAAGUUUCGGCGGUUGGGGAUGGACUCGCGGCUUAUCGGCUUGUUGGUGGGGUAGUGGCUUACCAAGGCUUUGACGGGUAGCCGGCCUGAGAGGGUGACCGGCCACAUUGGGACUGAGAUACGGCCCAGACUCCUACGGGAGGCAGCAGUGGGGAAUAUUGCACAAUGGGCGGAAGCCUGAUGCAGCAACGCCGCGUGCGGGAUGACGGCCUUCGGGUUGUAAACCGCUUUCGCCUGUGACGAAGCGUGAGUGACGGUAAUGGGUAAAGAAGCACCGGCUAACUACGUGCCAGCAGCCGCGGUGAUACGUAGGGUGCGAGCGUUGUCCGGAUUUAUUGGGCGUAAAGGGCUCGUAGGUGGUUGAUCGCGUCGGAAGUGUAAUCUUGGGGCUUAACCCUGAGCGUGCUUUCGAUACGGGUUGACUUGAGGAAGGUAGGGGAGAAUGGAAUUCCUGGUGGAGCGGUGGAAUGCGCAGAUAUCAGGAGGAACACCAGUGGCGAAGGCGGGUCUCUGGGCCUUUCCUGACGCUGAGGAGCGAAAGCGUGGGGAGCGAACAGGCUUAGAUACCCUGGUAGUCCACGCUGUAAACGGUGGGUACUAGGUGUGGGGUCCAUUCCACGGGUUCCGUGCCGUAGCUAACGCUUUAAGUACCCCGCCUGGGGAGUACGGCCGCAAGGCUAAAACUCAAAGGAAUUGACGGGGCCCCGCACAAGCGGCGGAGCAUGCGGAUUAAUUCGAUGCAACGCGUAGAACCUUACCUGGGUUUGACAUGGAUCGGGAGUGCUCAGAGAUGGGUGUGCCUCUUUUGGGGUCGGUUCACAGGUGGUGCAUGGCUGUCGUCAGCUCGUGUCGUGAGAUGUUGGGUUAAGUCCCGCAACGAGCGCAACCCUUGUUCACUGUUGCCAGCACGUUAUGGUGGGGACUCAGUGGAGACCGCCGGGGUCGACUCGGAGGAAGGUGGGGAUGACGUCAAGUCAUCAUGCCCCUUAUGUCCAGGGCUUCACGCAUGCUACAAUGGCUGGUACAGAGAGUGGCGAGCCUGUGAGGGUGAGCGAAUCUCGGAAAGCCGGUCUCGGUUCGGAUUGGGGUCUGCAACUCGACCUCAUGAAGUCGGAGUCGCUAGUAAUCGCAGAUCAGCAACGCUGCGGUGAAUACGUUCCCGGGGCU